Molecule: transfer RNA, 65 nt
Filed under: Parvimolge townsendi (Townsend's dwarf salamander)
Lineage: Eukaryota; Metazoa; Chordata; Amphibia; Caudata; Plethodontidae
Description: tRNA-Val
Source: RNAcentral
CAGGAUAUAGCUUAAAUAAAGCAUUUUGCUUACACCAAAAAAACAUCGACCAUGCGAUUGUCCUG